Molecule: ribosomal RNA, 1046 nt
Filed under: fungal endophyte
Lineage: Eukaryota; Fungi
Description: eukaryotic LSU rRNA
Rfam family: Eukaryotic large subunit ribosomal RNA (bases 480-1046)
Source: RNAcentral
ACGCUCUACAACCCUUUGUGAACAUACCUAUAACUGUUGCUUCGGCGGGUAGGGUCUCCGUGACCCUCCCGGCCUCCCGCCCCCGGGCGGGUCGGCGCCCGCCGGAGGAUAACCAAACUCUGAUUUAACGACGUUUCUUCUGAGUGGUACAAGCAAAUAAUCAAAACUUUUAACAACGGAUCUCUUGGUUCUGGCAUCGAUGAAGAACGCAGCGAAAUGCGAUAAGUAAUGUGAAUUGCAGAAUUCAGUGAAUCAUCGAAUCUUUGAACGCACAUUGCGCCCGCCAGCAUUCUGGCGGGCAUGCCUGUUCGAGCGUCAUUUCAACCCUCAAGCUCUGCUUGGUGUUGGGGCCCUACAGCUGAUGUAGGCCCUCAAAGGUAGUGGCGGACCCUCCCGGAGCCUCCUUUGCGUAGUAACUUUACGUCUCGCACUGGGAUCCGGAGGGACUCUUGCCGUAAAACCCCCAAUUUUCCAAAGGUUGACCUCGGAUCAGGUAGGAAUACCCGCUGAACUUAAGCAUAUCAAUAAGCGGAGGAAAAGAAACCAACAGGGAUUGCCUCAGUAACGGCGAGUGAAGCGGCAACAGCUCAAAUUUGAAAUCUGGCCCUAGGCCCGAGUUGUAAUUUGCAGAGGAUGCUUUUGGUGCGGUGCCUUCCAAGUUCCCUAGAACGGGACGCCAGAGAGGGUGAGAGCCCCGUACAGUUGGACACCAAGCCUUUGUAAAGCUCCUUCGACGAGUCGAGUAGUUUGGGAAUGCUGCUCAAAAUGGGAGGUAUAUUUCUUCUAAAGCUAAAUACCGGCCAGAGACCGAUAGCGCACAAGUAGAGUGAUCGAAAGAUGAAAAGCACUUUGAAAAGAGGGUUAAACAGCACGUGAAAUUGUUAAAAGGGAAGCGCUUGUGACCAGACUUGCGUCCGGUGAAUCACCCAGCUCUCGCGGCUGGGGCACUUCGCCGGCUCAGGCCAGCAUCAGCUCGCUGUCGGGGACAAAAGCUUCAGGAACGUAGCUCUCUUCGGGGAGUGUUAUAGCCUGUUGCAUAAUACCCU